This 874-nucleotide ribosomal RNA is filed under the name uncultured Staphylococcus sp. RNAcentral describes it as "bacterial SSU rRNA". It matches the Rfam family "Bacterial small subunit ribosomal RNA", at positions 28 to 883 of the family's 1533-position model. The record is from RNAcentral. Lineage: Bacteria; Bacillati; Bacillota; Bacilli; Caryophanales; Staphylococcaceae.
GAUGAACGCUGGCGGCGUGCCUAAUACAUGCAAGUCGAGCGAACGGACGAGAAGCUUGCUUCUCUGAUGUUAGCGGCGGACGGGUGAGUAACACGUGGAUAACCUACCUAUAAGACUGGGAUAACUUCGGGAAACCGGAGCUAAUACCGGAUAAUAUUUUGAACCGCAUGAUUCAAAAGUGAAAGACGGUCUUGCUGUCACUUAUAGAUGGAUCCGCGCUGCAUUAGCUAGUUGGUAAGGUAACGGCUUACCAAGGCAACGAUGCAUAGCCGACCUGAGAGGGUGAUCGGCCACACUGGAACUGAGACACGGUCCAGACUCCUACGGGAGGCAGCAGUAGGGAAUCUUCCGCAAUGGGCGAAAGCCUGACGGAGCAACGCCGCGUGAGUGAUGAAGGUCUUCGGAUCGUAAAACUCUGUUAUUAGGGAAGAACAUAUGUGUAAGUAACUGUGCACAUCUUGACGGUACCUAAUCAGAAAGCCACGGCUAACUACGUGCCAGCAGCCGCGGUAAUACGUAGGUGGCAAGCGUUAUCCGGAAUUAUUGGGCGUAAAGCGCGCGUAGGCGGUUUUUUAAGUCUGAUGUGAAAGCCCACGGCUCAACCAUGGAGGGUCAUUGGAAACUGGAAAACUUGAGUGCAGAAGAGGAAAGUGGAAUUCCAUGUGUAGCGGUGAAAUGCGCAGAGAUAUGGAGGAACACCAGUGGCGAAGGCGACUUUCUGGUCUGUAACUGACGCUGAUGUGCGAAAGCGUGGGGAUCAAACAGGAUUAGAUACCCUGGUAGUCCACGCCGUAAACGAUGAGUGCUAAGUGUUAGGGGGUUUCCGCCCCUUAGUGCUGCAGCUAACGCAUUAAGCACUCCGCCUGGGGAGUAC